Molecule: ribosomal RNA, 400 nt
Filed under: uncultured bacterium
Lineage: Bacteria
Description: bacterial SSU rRNA
Rfam family: Bacterial small subunit ribosomal RNA
Source: RNAcentral
UGAGGAAUAUUGGUCAAUGGGCGCAAGCCUGAACCAGCCAUGCCGCGUGCAGGAAGACGGUCCUAUGGAUUGUAAACUGCUUUUAUACAAGAAGAAACACUCUCUCGUGAGGGAGCUUGACGGUAUUGUAUGAAUAAGCAUCGGCUAACUCCGUGCCAGCAGCCGCGGUAAUACGGAGGAUGCGAGCGUUAUCCGGAAUCAUUGGGUUUAAAGGGUCCGUAGGCGGUUUAAUAAGUCAGUGGUGAAAGCCCAUCGCUCAACGAUGGAACUGCCAUUGAUACUGUUAGACUUGAAUUAUAGUGAAGUAGCUAGAAUAUGUAGUGUAGCGGUGAAAUGCUUAGAUAUUACAUGGAAUACCAAUUGCGAAGGCAGGUUACUAACUAUAUAUUGACGCUGAUGG